UACUCCUACGGGAGGCAGCAGUAGGGAAUCUUCCGCAAUGGACGAAAGUCUGACGGAGCAACGCCGCGUGAGUGAAGAAGGUUUUCGGAUCGUAAAACUCUGUUGUCAGAGAAGAACAAGUUGGAGAGUAACUGCUCCAGCCUUGACGGUAUCUGACCAGAAAGCCACGGCUAACUACGUGCCAGCAGCCGCGGUAAU
RNAcentral lists this ribosomal RNA (198 nucleotides) under uncultured bacterium. RNAcentral's name for it is "partial 16S ribosomal RNA". It matches the Rfam family "Bacterial small subunit ribosomal RNA", at positions 334 to 524 of the family's 1533-position model. The record is from RNAcentral.